AGAGUUUGAUCCUGGCUCAGGAUGAACGUUGGCGGCGUGCCUAACACAUGCAAGUCGAACGAGAAGACUUCCUUCGGGAAGUUGGAGAGUGGCGCACGGGUGAGUAACACGUAGCUUAUCUGCCCUGAAGAGCGGGAUAACGCACCGAAAGGUGUGCUAAUACCGCAUAAGCUCACAUGAACUAGAAUAAUGUGGGAAAAGCUCCGGCGCUUCAGGAUGAGGCUGCGGCCCAUCAGCUAGUUGGUAAGGUAACGGCUUACCAAGGCGACGACGGGUAGGGGGCCUGAGAGGGUGACCCCCCACACUGGGACUGAGACACGGCCCAGACUCCUACGGGAGGCAGCAGUGAGGAAUAUUGCGCAAUGGACGAAAGUCUGACGCAGCGACGCCGCGUGGGUGAUGAAGGUUUUCGGAUCGUAAAGCCCUUUUCUUGGUGACGAGGAAGGACGGUAACCAAGGAAUAAGUGUCGGCUAACUACGUGCCAGCAGCCGCGGUAAAACGUAGGACGCAAACGUUAUCCGGAAUUACUGGGCGUAAAGCGCGCGCAGGCGGAUCAGCAAGUCAGUCGUGAAAGCUCCCGGCUAAACUGGGAGAGGUCGGAUGAAACUGUUGGUCUGGAGUGUGGUA
RNAcentral lists this ribosomal RNA (628 nucleotides) under uncultured bacterium. RNAcentral describes it as "bacterial SSU rRNA". It matches the Rfam family "Bacterial small subunit ribosomal RNA", at positions 8 to 653 of the family's 1533-position model. The record is from RNAcentral.